This 3281-nucleotide long non-coding RNA is filed under the name Sus scrofa (pig). Its description in RNAcentral is "lncRNA (ENSSSCG00030007681.1)". The record is from RNAcentral. Lineage: Eukaryota; Metazoa; Chordata; Mammalia; Artiodactyla; Suidae.
UACCUUGUUUUACCCCUUACCUGUUUUUCCGUCUUUUUGUUUUUAUUUUUGGACGAUUUCCUCAGUUUUGUAAUCUAGCUCUUUUCUAGUAGGUUUUUAAAAUGAAACCCGACAGGUAAACAGCAAAGGGCACAGCUCACAAGUGUGCAUUUAGCUCAGUGGCUCUCCAGAAACGGAAAACUCUUGCAUGACUCCCCCCCUCUCCCCCCGGCCAGGGGAUAGCGCGCUGCUGUUUCCUGCUGCUCCCCUCCUGCCCCACUGGUCACCACUCCCUCUUCUCCCAGCGACAGUCACUCGGGACUGCUGACGCCACAGUUCACUUUCACUGUUUUCAAGCUUUAGUGUACAUCAGCCUCACCUGCAAGAUUUGGGGUGGGUUUUUUCACCUUUUUAGGGCCACACCCGCAGCAUACGGAGGGUCCCAGGCUAGGGAUUGAAUCGGAGCUGCAGCUGCCAGCCUCCGCCACAGCCACAGCAGCGCAGGAUCCGAGCAGCAUCUGUGGCCUACAGCACCGCGGCAACGCCGGAUCCUUAACCCACUGAGCGAGGCCAGGGACCAAACCCGAAUCCUCACGGCUAUCGCUGAGCCACAACGGGAACUUCGGAAGAUUUGUUAAAACAGAUUGCUGGCGCUCACUUCAGAGUUUCUGAUUCAGUAGGUCUGUAUUGGAAUUUUCUUAAGAAGUUAUCAGGUGCUGCUGCUGAGAACCACUGGCCUAGGUUCUUUAGCUAAAACCAAAUGGAAUCAUACCGUUGUCCUUUUUGGUGUAUGGUGUUUUUUGUUCAAAAUUAACCUUGUGAAAUUAAUGCUUUUAGAAAAAGUAGCUGAAGUUCAUUUCAACUCCUGAGUAGUAUGACUCUGCCGUUGAGUGUGAAGUUAUUUAUCUGUUCUGCUGGUGGCGGUCGUUUGGACUAGUCCCAGUAUUUGGCUGUUAGGAGUGACGGUACUAAGGACAUUCCUUUGGAGUAUUUUGCUGAAAAUGUGCGAACGUUUCUGCUGGAAAUAAACCCGCGGGCGAGGAGCUGCUGGCAGGCAGCGUAUAUCCAGCUCUUUUCCACAGCAGUGGCACCAAUUUUCACUCCUAACAGCAGGGGGCGCGAGUGCGCUCUUUGCCCUGCGUCCUGGACGCCACCUCCCUGCUCCAUCUUUUUAUUUGUAAGCCCUUCUGGCAGGAGUGCAGUGGUUUCUCACUGUGGUCUUCCGUUGCAUUUCCAUGGUGACUGAUGGCACUUCUUAAGUUAUUUGCUACUUGGAUAUCCUUUGGUAUUACAUAGCCAUUUAAGUUUCUUGCUCAUUUUUGUAUUUAUUUAUCUAUCUUUUUCCUAUUGACUUGUACUAGUUCUUGGUAUAUUCUGGAUAUGACUAUUAGUUGGUAGUAUAUAUUGCAGUAAUUUCUUCCGUUCUGUGGUUUGCCUUUAUUCUGUUAGGCAUAAGGUUUUGAGGUGUGUGUGUGUGUGUGUGUGGUGAGAGCACCUGAGAUCUACUUUUAAAAGCAAAUUUCCGGCAUGUCGUAGAAUUAACUGUAGGCGUCCUGCUGCACGUCGAUGUCCGGCAUUACGCAUCCUGCGAAACCCUGACUCUGGCCUCUGACCAUCACCCCCCCCCCCCCCCUCGUCGCUGCCCUUGGCAACUGCCGCUCCACUCGCUUUGUUUUCGGUGUUCAGGCCGCACACGCGUGUGAGCUCCUGCGGUCCUCCUCUCUCCAUGUCUGGUUUAGUUCUCUUCGUCCAGUGCCCUCCAGGCCCACCGGCGUUAACACUCGCAGACGGCAGGAUCCGCUUGCUUCCUCAGGCUGAAUAAACCUCCAUGUUACGCCUGUAUACAGAAGGCGCAGAGCAAGGCAACAAAGGAGAAAUGGAUGUCGGCGUGGGCGAGGAACAAGCAGCAGCAGAGACGUCGACAGCUGAAGAAGUUAAGUUUGCCUUUCUGUACUGCAUAGUCUGACAAGCCAAAAAACCCCGGCUGCAACAGAACUUCCAGCCUCCCUGGGGCCCUGGAUGUGACUUACAUCCUGCCCGUGAAAUGUACGUGCUCAAGAUUUGAGAAGGCGGACGGAGGCGGAGGCCACUUCCCAACUGUAUCUGGCUUCGUUCGCGUGGGUUUGCUCAUGAUCCAGACUGUGGAGCUAAGUCCAACAGCCAUUUCCAGCCGUUCCAGUUUCCCGCACUGAAACCUCCUCACAAACAUAAUGAGGGGAACAGCCUUCGGGGAUCUCAUAGAGCCAGUUCGUCUCCCCCAGUCCCGGUUUCUGGGCAUGUGGAUUAAGAGCCAGGAUUCUCCCGACAAGCAGGGGCCAGAGCGUGUGCGCUGGCACAGCUGCAGAAGAGCCCAACAGAGGACGCCAGGACACAGGGCACCAGCCGGGCUUGGCUUCCAGGGGUCCUUCCUCCACCGGUGUGUGGGGAGAGAGCCUCUUUCACGGGGUGCCCGUUCCCCCAGAGCCUGUGCUCCGAACGCCACAAACGUCAGCCCAUCCACGACUCAAAACCACUGCAGGGCAGGCGUGGUCACCCUCAGUGGACGUUUGGGACGACGGACUCUGAGCCGGUGACGCGACUCGCCUGAGACGCUCAGAUAACAUCAGGUCUGUCUCACGGUCCACCGUUUACAUGAACGAGUUCUUCUCUUUUUUAAAUGAUGAAAAUAAUCUGUGUUCAUUGUCUGAUCUCUCUCAUCAUCCCGUUGGUGUGGCGGUAGCAGGAGGGAAGCAAGGGCUGUGCUUUCUGUGACCGUGUUUACGUCAUUGUCAAGUCCCUGCUGCUUUGAUGACAGAUCCUGCCCAGGUUUUGAUAAAAGAUACAGGAGUUCUAUUUUCUUUUUCCUUUCUUUUCUUUUUUUCAUUGCACUGACAUGAACAAUAUUUCAGAAAUAAGAGAUAAUUGACAAAAUGACUUGUGUUGAGCUAUUAAUAAAUAAAAGGGUAUAGCUAGUUACCGGCAAUAAAACUGCAAAAUGGAUGAUUGCAAGGAAUCACCAGCCACAUCUUAUUAAUAGGCCUCUGUGAGCUAAUUGAAAAGGAUUACAGCAUCACUAACAGUGGCAAUCUUCUAUGAUUUUAAUAACGACCAAAGUGUGUAUGUGUGUGUUUGGGCUGCUCCUUCUCUUCCCACCGGCUUUAGGCAAUAGUUAAAAAUGUGGCCACAAGAAUUCAGAUGUUACCUGUUACCUGCUUAGCCUAAACUGGUUCAGGGUGAUAACUGACUAUAAUCCGGUGUCAACAAUUCUAAGGCAGCAGGAGAAACUUGCUUAUACUCUGUAGCUGAAAAUAAACUAUGGAAAA